CCCCAGUCCAUAUAGUUAUAGAUCAGUCCCCCCCCAGUCCAUAUAGUUAUAGAUCAGUCCCCCCAGUCCAUGUAGUUAUGGAUCAGUCCCCCCAGUCCAUAUAGUUAUAGAUUAGUCCCCACCCCCCAGUCCAUAUAGUUAUAGAUCAUUCCCCCCCCAGUCCAUGUAGUUAUGGAUCAGUCCCCUCCCCCAGUCCAUAUAGUUAUAGAUCAGUCCCCCCAGUCCAUAUAGUUAUAGAUUAGUCCCCACCCCCCAGUCCAUAUAGUUAUAGAUCAGUCCCCCCCCAGUCCAUAUAGUUAUAGAUCAGUCCCCACCCCCAGUCCAUAUAGUUAUAGAUCAGCCCCCCACCCCCCAGUCCAUAUAGUUAUAGAUCAGCCC
This is a long non-coding RNA of Oncorhynchus tshawytscha (Chinook salmon), 378 nucleotides long. Lineage: Eukaryota; Metazoa; Chordata; Actinopteri; Salmoniformes; Salmonidae. The record is from Ensembl.